GUAGUGAUAGUAGGCAAUGUAUUGUGCUAUUGAACUCAUGGUAUGAACGUGUUUCGGAGAAUUGAGUAAUUGACAAUGAAAAGUUGGCAGAAGUUAAAAGUGAAUGGAUGGGCAGAAGAGGGAAAAGGGGGAGAGCCUGCAUUAUCAUGGAAAGAGAAUGUUAAUGAAAGAUCUGUAAGACAUAGAAUAUGUGAGGGUGAUGGCUCAAAACAAACUAGAAGCUCAGAUACGCAUUUUCAUGCACAUUGUGGGCAGGGGUGGAAAGAAUAGGCGAGCACGCGAGCACUGCUUGCAGGAAAUGAUAAACAGCUGCAGGUAAUUCGUUUCAAUGAAGAUUUGCUAUUGAAAAUUUGAGAGGAAACCCUAACACCCAUGUCCCAAUAUGGGCACAACAACAUAUGGUUGACAGACACAUUAUGCACAUGCAGAUUUAGCACAAAAAUACUCCGUUGGUCUGCAGGAAAUUUUUGUCUCCAGGUUGUGCUCCCAGGAAGAAAAUUCUUUUCCCCUGAUUUUGGGAAACUACGUAUGCUCGACAGCAAUGUUGUUGAUAAGAUCAUUUGCAUUUCCCUCCAUUGUCUCUAUUUUAACCAAAUCACAUAAAGAAACUAUGGUUUUCAUUUGCUGGUUCAUUCAAGCAUUGCUUGCAACAUCCGCAGACGUCGAGAUUUUUUCCUCACGAGGUGAAAAAAUAUCAAACACGAUGUCACGAUAGAUAUCUUCCUCAAGAGGUUAAAUCCUCACAAAAACUGUCUGCACACAAGAGAAACGUGCCGAGUUAGCCACGACGCAAGGUGAGUCACCUCAGCAAGCUUCUCUCAUGUGCGUCAGAGUAACAUUUUCCUAAUGUUUAAAAUUUUCAUAGUAUCCAGUUCACCAGUUGGGAUAUAAGUCAUUCACAGUUUGGUAUCCAAAACCAAAUUUUAGUAUUAGUUAUACUAUUAGUAUAUAGUAUAGUAAAACACUUGUACACUCUCAUCAACUAUGAGUGGGUUAAAAGUUUGAAUCAACAAGAGUUUUGCCCGUUUGACAUCUGAUAAUAUAUAACCAACUCUCAAGCCAAGGCACAAGAAAUUUGAUGAAGGAUGCAAGCAAACUCUUAUCAGUCUUAUAAACUUUCAUUUGACCAGAACUUAAAACUUUCAUGAUACAACCUUCCUGGAAAGUACACCGCUUUGGCUAUAGAGCCUCAUUUUCAUGUACAUAACAGCAUGUCAAUCACAAAAACGAGGCUCUAUGGCCAAGACGAGACACUUUCCGGAAGCAUGUAUUUAAUAAUAAUUCCUUUAGUUUCACCAUUAUGCACUUCAUUUCUUUAAAGUUCAUUAUUUGUUUACAAAACAACACUUGUUUACAAAACAACACUUGUUUACAAUUACAAAGGACUGUGCAGUAUAAAACACUACACAAUAACUUGGCUACAAUCAUGAUGCUGGGCAGUCAAUAAAAUGUUUUGCAGUCAAUGUUUAACAUUGUUUAGUAUCUUUUUUUAUGAAUAGUUGAGAUUUCUGUGCACUUUGUCUUUGAUCAUAAAAUUUCAGCCAUAUUGUCAUUCCUCUUCUAUCGCUGUUUCUGCUAGUAAAUAUUUAUACAACGGCAGGCCUUCGUGUGUCUUCAACAUGUCCUUAUAUCUGCUUUCAGCGCUGGACUCGAAGAGAUGUGCUUGGUAGCCGAUCAAUACACCAAUCCCAAUAGCGGCUGCAUGAAAACUUGGCUUCUUUAAAGCUGGAAUUCUGCGCACUGCAUUUGCAAAACAGGACGUGAAAAACCCACCAGCACCGAACCACACGAUAGUACGAAGCAUCUUCGUUGGAAACGAGCGAAAAAAUCAGCUAAAUUUUAUACAAAAUCAAUAAUAUUUUCUGUGCAUUCACUUUUUAACUGAUUUUUAUGAAACCAAUAUGGCGG
This 1908-nucleotide long non-coding RNA is filed under the name Paramuricea clavata. The record is from RNAcentral. Lineage: Eukaryota; Metazoa; Cnidaria; Anthozoa; Malacalcyonacea; Plexauridae.